UAAGCGGAGGAAAAGAAACUAACCAGGAUUCCCCUAGUAACUGCGAGUGAAGCGGGAAAAGCUCAAAUUUAAAAUCUGGCGGUCCUUGUGGCCGUCCGAGUUGUAAUCUGGAGAAGUGCUUUCCGCGCUGGACCGUGUACAAGUCUCUUGGAACAGAGCGUCGUAGAGGGUGAGAAUCCCGUCUUUGACACGGACUACCAGUGCUUUGUGAUGCGCUCUCAAAGAGUCGAGUUGUUUGGGAAUGCAGCUCAAAAUGGGUGGUAAAUUCCAUCUAAAGCUAAAUAUUGGCGAGAGACCGAUAGCGAACAAGUACCGUGAGGGAAAGAUGAAAAGAACUUUGGAAAGAGAGUUAAACAGUACGUGAAAUUGCUGAAAGGGAAACGCUUGAAGUCAGUCGCGUUGGCCGGGACUCAGCCUUGCUUCCGCUUGGUUUAUUUUCUGGUCGACGGGUCAGCAUCAGUUUUGAUCGUCGGACAAUGGCUGGGGGAAUGUGGCAUCUUCGGAUGUGUUAUAGCCCUCGGUCGCAUACGAUGGUUGGGACUGAGGAUCUCAGCACACCUUUAUGGUCGGGGUUCGCCCACGUUUGUGCUUAGGAUGCUGGCAUAAUGGCUUUAAACGACCCGUCUUGAAACACGGACCAAGGAGUCUAACAUGCAUGCGAGUGUUUGGGUGGAAAACCCGAGCGCGUAAUGAAAGUGAAAGUUGAGACCUCUGUCGUGGAGGGCAUCGACGCCCGGACCAGACCUUCUGUGACGGCCCUGCGGUAGAGCAUGUAUGUUGGGACCCGAAAGAUGGUGAACUAUGCCUGAAUAGGGUGAAGCCAGAGGAAACUCUGGUGGAGGCUCGUAGCGAUUCUGACGUGCAAAUCGAUCGUCAAAUUUGGGUAUAGGGGCGAAAGACUAAUCGAACCAUCUAGUAGCUGGUC
RNAcentral lists this ribosomal RNA (925 nucleotides) under [Ptychogaster] rubescens. Its description in RNAcentral is "LSU rRNA". It matches the Rfam family "Eukaryotic large subunit ribosomal RNA", at positions 47 to 956 of the family's 3401-position model. The record is from RNAcentral. Lineage: Eukaryota; Fungi; Basidiomycota; Agaricomycetes; Polyporales; Postiaceae.